GAAUAUUUUCAAAAAAUAGGUUUAAUGAGUUUAUUAAUUAAAAGGGAAGUUGGGUGAAAAUCCCACGCGGUACCGCCGCUGUAAAAGAGGAGUUUUCUUCUAUUAUGCCACUAUUUUUAAAAUGGGAAGGCAGAAGAAAAUUAUGAUACUUAAGCCAGAAGACCUGCCUAUUUUUUUGCACUGUA
Clostridium tetanomorphum DSM 665 is the source of this 185-nucleotide non-coding RNA. NCBI's taxonomy places the organism in Bacteria, Bacillati, Bacillota, Clostridia, Eubacteriales, Clostridiaceae. The record is from Rfam.